GGGACACGUGAAACCCUGUGGGAAGCAGGAGGGACCACCCUCCAAGGCUAAAUACUACCUAGUGACCGAUAGCGUAUAGUACCGUGAGGGAAAGGUGAAAAGAACCCCGGGAGGGGAGUGAAAUAGAACCUGAAACCCUGCACUUACAAGCUGUGGAAGCACAUUUCUUGUGUGACCGCGUACUUUUUGUAGAACGGGCCAACGAGUUACGUUAAGUAGCAAGGUUAAGCACUUAAGGUGCGGAGCCGUAGCGAAAGCGAGUUUUAACUGAGCGUUCAGUUACUUGACGUAGACCCGAAACCGGGCGACCUACCCAUGAGCAGGAUGAAGCGAAAGUAAAAUUUCGUGGAGGUCCGAACCCACGAGCGUUGAAAAGCUCGGGGAUGACUUGUGGGUAGCGGUGAAAUUCCAAUCGAGCCCGGAGAUAGCUGGUUCUCCCCGAAAUAGCUUUAGGGCUAGCCUCAAGGUGAGAGAUACGGAGGUAGAGCACUGAAUGUCCUAGGGGGUAUUGCACCUACCGAAGACUAUCAAACUCCGAAUGCCGUCAUCUUAUACUUGGGAGUCAGACUGUGGGUGAUAAGAUUCAUAGUCGAAAGGGCAACAGCCCAGAUCGUCAGCUAAGGUCCCUAAAUGUAAGUUAAGUGGUAAAGGAUGUGGGAUUGCACAGACAACCAGGAUGUUGGCUUAGAAGCAGCCACUCAUUCAAAGAGUGCGUAAUAGCUCACUGGUCGAGUGAUCCUGCGCCGAAGAUUUCCGGGGCUAAAACUUACUACCGAAGCUACGGCAUCAGUAAUGAUGGGUAGGGGAGCUUCCCAUACGGGUUGAAGCAUGACCGUAAGGACAUGUGGACAGUAUGGGAGUGAGAAUGUUGGCAUGAGUAGCGAGAUGUGGGUGAGAAUCCCACAGGCCGUAAACCCAAGGUUUCCAGGGGAAGGUUCGUCCGCCCUGGGUUAGUCGGGACCUAAGCUGAGGCCGAAAGGCGUAGGUGAUGGACAACAGGUUGAUAUUCCUGUACUACCGAUAACCGUUUGAGAGAAGGGAUGACACAGUAGGAUAAGCUAAGCACACUGUUGGUUAUGUGUGCCCAAG
Molecule: ribosomal RNA, 1089 nt
Filed under: Clostridioides difficile
Lineage: Bacteria; Bacillati; Bacillota; Clostridia; Peptostreptococcales; Peptostreptococcaceae
Description: partial 23S ribosomal RNA
Rfam family: Bacterial large subunit ribosomal RNA
Source: RNAcentral